GAUGAACGCUGACAGAAUGCUUAACACAUGCCAGUUGAUGGGGAAGUGGUGCUUGCACCAUGGCAACCAUGGCGGACGGGUGAGUAACGCGUAAGGGACUUACCUGCAGGACUGGGAUAACAGGGGGAAACUCCUGACAAGACCGGAUAAUGUCAUGGAGCUGCAUGGCUUUAUGAUGAAAGGAGACGCCUGCGGAGAGCCUUGCGUCCUAUUAGCUAGUUGGUGAGGUAAUGGCUCACCAAGGCGAAGAUAGGUAGCCGGCCUGAGAGGGUGGACGGCCACAAGGGGACUGAGAUACGGCCCUUACUCCUACGGGAGGCAGCAGUGGGGAAUAUUGGACAAUGGGGGCAACCCUGAUCCAGCAAUUCUGUGUGCACGAAGAAGGUUUUCGGAUUGUAAAGUGCUUUCAGCAGGGAAGAAGUAAGUGACGGUACCUGCAGAAGAAGCGACGGCUAAAUACGUG
This 463-nucleotide ribosomal RNA is filed under the name uncultured bacterium. Its description in RNAcentral is "partial 16S ribosomal RNA". It matches the Rfam family "Bacterial small subunit ribosomal RNA", at positions 28 to 507 of the family's 1533-position model. The record is from RNAcentral.